Molecule: long non-coding RNA, 248 nt
Organism: Chenopodium quinoa (quinoa)
Lineage: Eukaryota; Viridiplantae; Streptophyta; Magnoliopsida; Caryophyllales; Amaranthaceae
Exons: 4
Source: RefSeq, a predicted model, not a curated record
ACACAAUCUUUCACCUUGAUUCAGCUCGAUCAACAAAGAAGUACCUCGUGAUGUCUGUACUACAAAAUAUUAUGAAGAAGAUACAUGGUCGUGCUCCACGGGGUCCUACAUGGAAAUCACCUAUGUGCCCACAACAAGAUAAUGGAGUUGAUUGUGGAUUAUACGUGAUGAGAUUCAUGCUUGACAUAGCGACUCAUUGUACCAACACCAUACAUCUUGAUGAGUUUUGCAAGGUGCAAAAGGGAGAU